GAUGAACGCUGGCGGCGUGCCUAAUACAUGCAAGUCGAGCGAACGGACGAGAAGCUUGCUUCUCUGGUGUUAGCGGCGGACGGGUGAGUAACACGUGGAUAACCUACCUAUAAGACUGGGAUAACUUCGGGAAACCGUAGCUAAUACCGGAUAAUAUUUUGAACCGCAUGGUUCAAAAGUGAAAGACGGUCUUGCUGUCACUUAUAGAUGGAUCCGCGCUGCAUUAGCUAGUUGGUAAGGUAACGGCUUACCAAGGCAACGAUGCAUAGCCGACCUGAGAGGGGGAUCGGCCAACCUGGAAAUGAAACACGGCCCAACCCCUCACGGGGGGACGGAGGGGGGAAUUUUCGGAAAGGGGCGAAAGCCGAACGGAGAAACGCCGGGGGAGUUAAGAAGGUUUUGGGAUGGUAAAACCUUUUUUUUGGGGAAAAAAAAAUGUGUAAGUAACGGUGCACAUUUGGACGGUCCCAAAUCAGAAAGCCCGGGCAAACUCCGG
This 496-nucleotide ribosomal RNA is filed under the name uncultured bacterium. RNAcentral describes it as "partial 16S ribosomal RNA". It matches the Rfam family "Bacterial small subunit ribosomal RNA", at positions 28 to 506 of the family's 1533-position model. The record is from RNAcentral.